GCUCUCUCCUCCCUUGGCCUCUCUCACCUCCCUCGUGAUCUCUCACUAAAUCCUGCUGUUUUCAAUUCCAUGUCGCUUGGAUCCUGCCUUCAUGUCUGGUUCCCAGAUACAAUUCUGCUGCUGUCGGCCCUCCAGAUACAAUUCUGCUGCUGUCGGCCCUGAGGGUCACACCAGGACUGUGCUCCACCCUUCAUCCUGGUUCCAUCCUUGCGGGAUAUAUCUCCCACUUCGAAAAUCACCUCCCUUUCAUGUGGGUGAUCCCAACACUCCCUUCUCCCCGGGGCCACCUGUGGCUUCAAAGACACACACUAGCCCGAUGUGGCCAGGAUUGGCCUCAGGUGUGCUUCCCAGGCUUCAUUCUCUCUGGACCAGCGGCUACUUAGGGCCUACUCUUCUCAGAAGAGAGCCCAGGAAUACAGAGCAAGAUGAAACACAGGAUGCCUCGGAUGGCCUUGACCCAGAACUGUCACAUUGUCACUAUCCACAUUUCCAAAGCAAACCGUGUGGCCAAACCCAGCAUCACUGAGAAGCUGCCUGUAAGUGGGAGGAAUUGCAGUCACUUGGUAAUUGGAGGGGAGGGAGGUGGGGAGGAGUGGGAGUGGAUAAUACAAAUAUCUCUGCAUGGGAGUGGGGCACGAAGAACCGGGAACAGUAACCAACCUGUCACACUCCCUUUACCUUUCUGAACCCAGGCUCAGACAUUAGGAGUGGAUGGACAUUAGGAGUUGCUCUGGCCAUGCCCCCACCAUGUGGGGCUGGCCUGAGGAUGAAGCCCGUGCCCAAAAAUCAGUUCCUGGAUCUAGUGGUCCGGCUCCAUCCCUGCCUUCCCAGGUUUUAGUUAUCAGUUACUGAACUUCCCUUUGGUUUGGGAUUCUGUCACUCACUCGCCAAGAGGACCGGCAAGUUUCUUCUCUUACCUCUCAAGUGGUCCUUGUUGGCCUUGUGUUCUGCACUCCGCUCUUCUCUCUCUAGAAAAGGAAGGAGUCAGCAAACUCUGGUUUGUGCCAGCCACCUGUUUUUUGUAAACAAAGCUUUAUUGGAACACAGCCAUGCACAUUAAUUUACAUACUGCCUGUAGCUGUUUCUGCACUGCACCGGGAGAGUUGGAUAGUUAUGGUAAGAGACCAUAUGGUCCACAAAACCUAUUUACUAUUUGGCCCUUUAUAGAAAAAGUUUGCCUGGUCCUACUCCAAAAGAUGGAGGCCAUGUGGUUUCCCUGGCCAGUCUCAUCCACCUGCACACUGGUGACUCCCAAAUCUCUCUGGCCCCAGACCUCACCCCUGCAUCUUAGGAUAAUCGUGCACAUCGUUUUCUGCUCAGAUGCCCCACAAGCUCCUCAAAUUCAAGGAGCCUUCAACUCCAGCUGAGCUCACCCUCUCCCCCUAGACAGAAUCCUCUUUCCUAGUCCCCAGUGUGGGCAAGUUGUGCUGUCUUAGCAGCCAGUAGCCUAAACUAGAACACAAUCAUAGACUCUCUCUUCUCUCUCCUCCCCCUACUUCCCAGCUCCUCCC
This 1511-nucleotide long non-coding RNA is filed under the name Felis catus (domestic cat). RNAcentral's name for it is "lncRNA (ENSFCAG00000053753.1)". The record is from RNAcentral. Lineage: Eukaryota; Metazoa; Chordata; Mammalia; Carnivora; Felidae.